UACGAAGGGGGCUAGCGUUGUUCGGAAUUACUGGGCGUAAAGCGCGUGUAGGCGGCCACGUAAGUCGGAUGUGAAAGCCCCGGGCUCAACCCGGGAAGUGCACUCGAUACUGCGUGGCUUGAGUACUGGAGAGGUUGGUGGAAUUCUCGGUGUAGAGGUGAAAUUCGUAGAUAUCGAGAGGAACACCGGUGGCGAAGGCGGCCAACUGGACAGAUACUGACGCUGAGACACGAAAGCGUGGGGGAGCAAACAGG
This 254-nucleotide ribosomal RNA is filed under the name uncultured bacterium. RNAcentral's name for it is "partial 16S ribosomal RNA". It matches the Rfam family "Bacterial small subunit ribosomal RNA", at positions 524 to 776 of the family's 1533-position model. The record is from RNAcentral.